This 167-nucleotide RNase P RNA is filed under the name Holdemanella biformis. RNAcentral's name for it is "partial RNase P RNA component class B". It matches the Rfam family "Bacterial RNase P class B", at positions 181 to 365 of the family's 365-position model. From Rfam's summary of the family: Ribonuclease P (RNase P) is a ubiquitous endoribonuclease, found in archaea, bacteria and eukarya as well as chloroplasts and mitochondria. Lineage: Bacteria; Bacillati; Bacillota; Erysipelotrichia; Erysipelotrichales; Erysipelotrichaceae. The record is from RNAcentral.
GACGAAUCUAUAUGGAAACGUAUAGGGUGGAACGGGUAAACCCCACAAGCGAGAAACCCAAAUUUGGUAGGGGAACCGGCUGGAAUGAAACGAAAGGAAAGCUGGAUAGCAUUGCUAUAGAUAAAUGACUGUCACCACGUAAGUGGAACAGAACAUGGCUUAUGAUU